CCUGGUGCUGAUUGCGCGGUGGAACCACGCUGAUACCUUCCCGAACUCAGAGGUGAAACGCUGCUGCGGCCACGAUAGUUGGAGGGUUGCCUCCCGCCACAAUAGCUCUGUGCCAGGU
RNAcentral lists this ribosomal RNA (118 nucleotides) under Nostoc minutum NIES-26. The record is from RNAcentral. RNAcentral also lists the same sequence under 1 other name. Lineage: Bacteria; Bacillati; Cyanobacteriota; Cyanophyceae; Nostocales; Nostocaceae.